Oncorhynchus keta (chum salmon) is the source of this 1287-nucleotide long non-coding RNA. RefSeq lists it as uncharacterized. The record is from RefSeq and is a predicted model, not a curated record. The transcript is spliced from 2 exons. Lineage: Eukaryota; Metazoa; Chordata; Actinopteri; Salmoniformes; Salmonidae.
UCAAAUUAACUUUGAGCUCUUUAAUUCACAUUUUUACAUUGCAAGCACUAAGAAUUAUUGUUCAUGCCACGAUCCGGAAAAUUGGUUCUGGAAUGCAUCAGUCCAAAACUGAGAGUUGCCGGAUCCUGUUCCCGCGGAAUCCGUCUGAAAUAAAGCACUGGUGAUACAAGUAAAACACAUAUAUUACCAAAGAUCUGACUUUAAUAACUUGUUAUUCAGUACAUGUUCAAAGGUGGAAGAGACCCUCCAGAGUUGCUGCAGUGUGUGUUCUACUGGCUGUGAUCAUAGGCCUGUGGGAUUCCUAUGCAACUUCAGAGCGAGACCAGCUACAGAAUAGUCUAACUACCAGGACCACAGAGAGACCAGCUACAGACCAGUUACAACACCCCAACUAAAGAGAGAGACCAGCUACAGAUCAGUUACAACACCCUGACUAAAGAGAGAGACCAGCUAAAGAAUCGUCUAAAUACCAGGACCACAGAAAGAGACCAGCUACAGACCAGUUACAACACCCUGACUAAAGAGAGAGACCAGCUACAGACCAGUUACAACACCCUGACUAUAGAGAGAGACCAGCUACAGAGUAGUCUAAAUACCAGAACCACUGAAAUAGACAAGUUGAAGAAGAGUCUGAACACUACAACUAUGGAGCGUGACCAGCUACAGAAGGAGAUAGAAAGACUGAACUGGGAGAACAAAGGUAAAUGUGUACAAAGGGCCCACCUUUUUAUUUGCUUCCUGAUCCACAGUUUCUGUAGUUGACCUGUUAUCUCACACACAAGCAUAUUCAAUAAGUAUUGUCAAUGUUAUCCAUGACCAUUAGGACCAGAAACAAAUUAAAUUGACUGGAGCUGUGUUCUGCCUUUGCGCUCAACACACGCCACAGGAGAUCAGAGGUCAUCAGAACUACCUAGAACGAUUCCCGGGACCACCCAUACGUAGAAUGUAUGCACACAUGACUGUAAGUCGCUUUGGAUAAAAGCGUCUGCUAAAUGGCAUAUAUUAUUAUAUUAUUAACUUAGAUUGUAUUAUUUUUUAGGGGGUAGAUCAUCUUUAAUGUUGCAGAUUGUGGCUUCCUUCAAAAGGUUGCAAGAUCGAAUCCCCGAGCUAGCAAGGUAGAAAUCUGUCGUUCUGCCCCUGAACAAGGCAGUUAAACCACUGUUCCUAGGCCGUCAUUGAAAAUAAGAAUUUGUUCUUAACUGACUUGCCUAGUUAAAUAAUUAUAUAUAAAAACAUGUAAUUGUCUGCACCAUUUCCAAUCCCCAUAUAUAUUUUCUGUAAAGGGUU